This 696-nucleotide ribosomal RNA is filed under the name Triticum aestivum (bread wheat). RNAcentral describes it as "partial small subunit ribosomal RNA". Lineage: Eukaryota; Viridiplantae; Streptophyta; Magnoliopsida; Poales; Poaceae. The record is from RNAcentral.
AUGACGACAUCACCUUCGGUGGGGGUCUAUUCCAAAUCACUGAUGGAGUCUGGGCCGGAUUCUGUUAGACAGGAGCCUGGGCCGUUUAUUGCGCCAUCGCUGGAGGAGCUGCUGCCGCAGCUAUCCCUUGAGGAGCGGGUACGAUUGCAGAGUCACCUACACGAGCACGAGCGCAAAGUGAAGCGAUGGAGUAAGUGUCCUACAUUACCUUCGGGCCGGUCAGAAAGAAAGCGCGACACCACCAUCAUGCCUCACGUCCGCCACGCUCUCCACUAUUACAAUGCCAGGCACCCGGGUGACGAGUUUGAUGCUGUGAAGCCUCUGAUGGAAUCCAGAGCUAGUUUCAGGAAACAGCUGUGGGCUCACGUCAACUUCUGGGCUCGCAGUCGCAAAAGCAACAAAAUCAAGCGCUUCUUCGCUGAGGUGCACUACAACCCAAAACCUAUUGUUGAAGUGUGCACCAUCAUCGAAGAGCCUCUUGACCGGUACAGGAGGAGCUGCGCAUUCUGUCCUGGCAACCGGGACAUUUUGCACCCUGUUGGUUCCCGUAAGUUUGUUUGUGGAAAUGAUAAGGACCGGAUGGUACAACAAUUCAAGCCUCGUACAUUCUCUGAAUUUCGUGGAAUGCCAUUCACUUGCUGCCCGAGUUCGGCCUCCUCCAACGUUCAAGAGGAAGUAGGAAAGAGAGUAUUCUGA